GAUGAACGCUGGCGGCGUGCCUAAUACAUGCAAGUCGAGCGAACGGACGAGAAGCUUGCUUCUCUGAUGUUAGCGGCGGACGGGUGAGUAACACGUGGAUAACCUACCUAUAAGACUGGGAUAAUUUCGGGAAACCGGCGCUAAUCCCGGAUAAUCUUUUGAACCGCAUGGUUCAAAAGUGAAAGACGGUCUUGCUGUCACUUAUCGCUGGAUCCGCGCUGCAUUAGCUAGUUGGUAAGGUAACGGCUUACCAAGGCAACGAUGCCUAGCCGACCUGAGAGGGGGAUCGGCCACACUGGAACUGAGACACGGACCAGACUCCUACGGGAGGCAGCAGUAGGGAAUCUUCCGCAAUGGGCGAAAGCCUGACGGAGCAACGCCGCGUGAGUGAUGAAGGUCUUCGGAGCGUAAAGCUCUGUUAUUAGGGAAGAACAUAUGUGUAAGUAACUGUACACAUCUUGACGGUACCUAGUCAGAAAGCCACGGCUAACUACGUG
This 497-nucleotide ribosomal RNA is filed under the name uncultured bacterium. RNAcentral describes it as "partial 16S ribosomal RNA". It matches the Rfam family "Bacterial small subunit ribosomal RNA", at positions 28 to 507 of the family's 1533-position model. The record is from RNAcentral.